GAUGAACGCUGACAGAAUGCUUAACACAUGCAAGUCUUUGGCGAAUCUGUGCUUGCACAGGCUAGCCAAGGCGGACGGGUGAGUAACGCGUAAAGAACUUGCCCUGCAGACAGGGAUAACAGACGGAAACGACUGAUAACACCUGAUACAGUUGCCGGCACGCAUGUGCCUGGCAAUGAAAAGAGAUGCUGCAGGAGAGCUUUGCGUCCUAUUAGCUUGUUGGUGAGGUGACGGCUCACCAAGGCGAUGAUAGGUAGCCGGCCUGAGAGGGUGAACGGCCACAAGGGGACUGAGAUACGGCCCUUACUCCUACGGGAGGCGGCAGUGGGGAAUAUUGGACUAUGGGGGCAACCCUGAUCCAGCAAUUCUGUGUGCACGAAGAAGGUUUUCGGAUUGUAAAGUGCUUUCAGCAGGGAAGAAGAAAGUGACGGUACCUGCAGAAGAAGCGACGGCUAAAUACGUG
RNAcentral lists this ribosomal RNA (463 nucleotides) under uncultured bacterium. RNAcentral's name for it is "partial 16S ribosomal RNA". It matches the Rfam family "Bacterial small subunit ribosomal RNA", at positions 28 to 507 of the family's 1533-position model. The record is from RNAcentral.